Molecule: long non-coding RNA, 1945 nt
Organism: Serinus canaria (Common canary)
Lineage: Eukaryota; Metazoa; Chordata; Aves; Passeriformes; Fringillidae
Source: Ensembl
AUGAAAAGUCAAGUGGAAAAUUUACACAAAGGCGCUCCCGGCUCCUGCUUUUCCGGCGGCGUUGGAAUUGCUUUAUUCCUUCAUUCCUUAAAGCGGGAUUUCAAAGCUUUCAAACAUUUUAUGUCUAACACAAAUCCAUUUAAUUCCCACCUGGAUUUUUUUCCAGCGUUAAUUUCCUCGUUAAUUACCGAGGAUAUUUGGAUUAAACACAAUCCAGCUCCUUCUCCCGCUGAUCCAUCUCCAUCUCCUUCCCGGCGCGCCCAAAGUCCUACCGGGAGCUUCCCGUGCCACCAAAACCUCCGGACCUAUUCCCUAAUUCCCCGAAAAGCUGCCUCCGCUGGUAUUCCCGAGCCAAGAUCUGGGCUCUGGCCCAUGGUUUUUCCAUGGAUCCUGAAUCCCUUUUGUUGUGGAGCCCCUUCUUCCAGCCAGGUAAAAGCACAGCCCUUCCCUGAUUCCAUGGAUCCAGCAAAAGCUGCCUCUGCAGGCAUUCCCACACCCUUCGCUUGGCAUCUUUGGGAACAGCCAGGAAACCCUUUUGGGACAAGGAAACCCUUUGGGGGCAAGGAAAACUCUUGGAGUAAGGGAAAAGAAACCCUCUUGGAUAAGGGGAAAACACUCUUGGAAAAAGGGAAACCUCUUGGGGCAAGGAAACAUUUUAGGGAAAGGAAGCGCUUUUGGGCAAGGAGUAGUUCUUGGAUAAAGGGAAAAUCCUUUUGGAUAAAGGAAAACCUCUCAGGGCAAGGAAUUCGGUCCUCAUUCCAAGCAAGCUGCAGGAAUGCCACAUUCCAAGGGAUAUUUCCAGCCUGGGCUGGAGAUGCAGAGCUGCCAAAUGCAGAAUUCCAUAUUUAUUUAGGGCACAGCGAGCCUGGGAUGUGAAAUCCCUAAAUAUGCAUCGUCCUUCCUGGGACUUCUAUCUGGGAGACAGAUGCGAAAUACUGGGAAUAUCCUUGCUGGGUACCUCUGCAUCCAGGCCCUCAUUCCCUGAAAAUCCAGGGAAAUUUCUGCCACUUCUAGUCCAGGCCACCUCUCGUCUUGCUCAGGGCAGGGAAAUGCAGGAAUUCUAAAUGAAUCGGGAGCAAGGCCAGCAGGGAUGAUCCAUCCUUUGCCAUUCCCACCUUUUGUCCUGUUGGUUCUGGGAGCUGGGAAUAGCCCUGGGCUGUUGGAAAGAAUCCUGAAAGGAUUUUAGGAGGGAAGAGGAAAACAGUUGUGGAUUUGGUAAUGCCAGAGCUCCGUUGGUGUCUCAAAAAUCCAUGGAAUCACUGGAUUUUUGGUGGUUUUUCCCCCCCUUCUCCCACUUUUUCCUGCAGGGUGGUCAGACUGGAAGGCAGGAGGCUCCUGCUGUUCCUGGGCUGCCCACAGCUCAUCCCACAUCUCUCUGAAAUCCCAGAGCACCUGGAUAUUCCCUGAUACUCUGAUACUGCAUUCCUGGGAUGGCCCAUCCCAAAAUCCCUCUGGAAGUGGUGGGUUCAUUGAUUCUAUGAAUUCCCAUGGAAUAUCCCAAGCUGGAAGGGAUGAGGCUCACCAGGCCCAUCCCAAUUCCCAUUUCAAAGGGAGAUCCAACUGGAUUUCCAUUCCUAGGAUGGUUCAUCCCAAAAUCCCUCAGGGAAGAGGUUUUAUGUCUUUACCAUAGUUGGGCUCCUUAAUUCCAUGAUUUCCCAAGGAAUAUCCCAAGCUGGAAGGGGUGAGGCUCACCAAGCCUAUCCCUAUUCCCAUUUUGAAAGGCAGAUCCAGCUGGAAUUCCCUUUCCAUGCUCCACCAGCUCCAACCUCAUCCCAAAAGCAGGAUGGGUUAAUUAAUGAGACGUUAAAGAGGCGGAAUGACACUUCCAGGAGCUCAUUCCUGAGCCACUCUGCCGGAGACAAAGAGAAGGUGCCGGCGGUGCCGGGUAAUUUGCGCGGCGUUCCCGGGGAAUAAAUUUAGGGAAGCAAAUAUCGUUAUGCGGGAU